CCAGUAGUCAUAUGCUUGUUUCAAAGAUUAAGCCAUGCAUGCAUAAGUACUAACUCAAUGAAAAGUGAAACCGCAAAUGGCUCAUUAAAUCAGUCACUAUUUACUAGGCCGUAAUCCAUUGGAUAUCUUUGGAAAAACUAGAGCUAAUACAUGCCAAGAGUAUCGGACCUUUCGGGGGACGAUUGCACUUAUUAGACACAUAAACCAGAAACUGGUGGUGUGACUCUAGUAGAAAGCAGAUCGCGUAGGUCUUGCACCUGCGGCGGGUCUUGCAAACGUCUGCCUUAUCAACUAGAUGGUAGGGUAAUGGCCUACCAUGGUUGUAACGGGUGACGGGGAAUCAGGGUUCGAUUCCGGAGAGGCAGCCUGAGAGACGGCUACCACAUCCAAGGAAGGCAGCAGGCACGAAAAUUCCCAAUCCCAGAAAAGGGAGGUAGUGACGAAAAAUAACAAUGCGGGACUCUUACGAGGCCCCGUAAUUGGAAUGAGAGAAGUGUAAAAGCAUUAUUUGAAAGUCUACUGAAGGGCAAGUCUGGUGCCAGCAGCCGCGGUAAUUCCAGCUUCAGUAGCGUAUAUUAAAGUUGUUGUGGUUAAAAAGCUCGUAGUUGGAUGUUGAUCAUGGGCAAGUGGACGUCCUUCGGGGCGCAUNCCGCUUGUGCCGAGACAAAUUCCCUGGCUGCCCUUGAUGCUCUUGAUCGGGUGUCAAUGGGUGGCUGGAGACUUUACUUUGAAAAAAUUAAACUGCUCAAAGGAAGCGUGGCUUAUGAAUACCUAAGCAUGGAAUAAUGGAAUAGGACCUCGAGUCUAUUUUGUUGGUUUCUAGAAGCGAGGUAAUGAUUAAUUGGGACUGCCGGGGGCAUACGUAUUGCUUGGCGAGAGGUGAAAUUCUUGGACCCUUGCAAGACGACCUAAAGCGAAAGCAUUUGCCCAGAAUGUUUCCAUUAAUCAAGAACGAAAGUUAGAGGUUCGAAGGCGAUCAGAUACCGCCCUAGUUCUAACCAUAAACGUUGUCGACCAGCGAUCAGCAUGCGUUCCUCUUAAGACGCUGCUGGCAACUUCAGGGAAACCAAAGUUUUUGGGUUCCUGGGGAAGUAUGGUUGCAAAGCUGAAACUUAAAGGAAUUGACGGAAGGGCACCACCAGGAGUGGAGCCUGCGGCUUAAUUUGACUCAACACGGGAAAGCUCACUCGGCCCGGACACUGAAAGGAUUGACAGAUUGAGAGCUCUUUCUUGAUUUAGUGGGUGGUGGUGCAUGGCCGUUCUUAGUUGGUGGAGCGAUUUGUCUGGUUCAUUCCGGUAACGAACGAGACUCACUCUUAUUAAAUAGAUGAUCGAUACCGUCGGUCGAUCAAAUGUCUUCUUAGAGGGACAGUUGGUAAACAGCCAGACGAGAUAGAGCAAUAACAGGUCUGUGAUGCCCUUAGAUGUCCGAGGCCGCACGCGGGCUACACUGAGAAAAUCAGCGAGUCGUUCAAAUCCAUGUCCAUUAGGUCAUGGUAAUCCGCUGAAAGUGUUUCGUGCUUGGGACUGGGGCUUGAAAUUAUAGCCCACAAACGAGGAAUUCCUGGUAAGGACUAGUCAUCAACUGGUCUUGACUAUGUCCCUGCCCUUUGUACACACCGCCCGUCGCUACUACCGAUUGAAUGGUUUAGUGAGGUCUUCGACGUGGAGCCUGGCGAGAGACCUUCGUGGUCUUCGAGCCUGCCGCCCCGCAUAGAUGGCCUAACUUGACCGUUUAGAGGAAGUAAAAGUCGUAACA
RNAcentral lists this ribosomal RNA (1759 nucleotides) under Centrobolus rubricollis. RNAcentral's name for it is "SSU rRNA". It matches the Rfam family "Eukaryotic small subunit ribosomal RNA". The record is from RNAcentral. Lineage: Eukaryota; Metazoa; Arthropoda; Diplopoda; Spirobolida; Pachybolidae.